This 240-nucleotide unclassified non-coding RNA is filed under the name soil metagenome. Its description in RNAcentral is "partial contains 5.8S ribosomal RNA, internal transcribed spacer 2, and large subunit ribosomal RNA". The record is from RNAcentral.
AAGACUAUAGACCUGCGGAGUACCUGCGGAGGGAUCAUUAAAGAGUUGCAAGACUCCCAAACCAUUGUGAACGUUACCCACACCGUUGCUUCGGCGGGCGGCCCGGGCCCUGCCCGGCGCCCCCCGGCCCCUCGCGGGCGCCCGCCGGAGGUAAACCAAACUCUUGAAUUGUAUGGCCUCUCUGAGUCUUCUGUACUGAAUAAGUCAAAACUUUCAACAAUGGAUCUCUAGAUCGGAAGA